This is a long non-coding RNA of Frieseomelitta varia, 823 nucleotides long. RefSeq lists it as uncharacterized. The record is from RefSeq and is a predicted model, not a curated record. The transcript is spliced from 2 exons. Lineage: Eukaryota; Metazoa; Arthropoda; Insecta; Hymenoptera; Apidae.
UUACGUUUGAAAUAUAUUUUUGUAAAAUGAUCGAGAAGAUUGAUGCAAUGUUUCGAUGAAUUUAUCAAAACUGUACGUUCUCCAUUGAAUAGAGUAAUUUUUCCAUACGUAAGAAAUGUCUCAACGCGUAUAGCAUCAUGACUGGCGCGAUCGUAGAGGAAAAGGAAAUAAAAGCUUGCAACAUCUUUGCUCUGUCUCAACUCUAUUAAAUAGUUUUGUAACAUUAAUCUUCCAUUACGCGCAAGCUUUUAUUAGGAAUCGAACAUGCAAGAAACCUUAACAAUGAUCUAUUGCAUAGGUGCUUGAUAACGUCUGAUCAUAAAGCUUUUGCAAGCUGCUUGAUUUUUAAACGUUCAUCUCGGCAUUGUAUUGAAAUCGAAGUAAACAAAUUUGAAGCGUUUGACUUAUUUAACUCUGUCAAUUAAACUAUGCUAACAUGAUUUGUAUCCGUCAUAAAAUCGUUGUUUCAGUCUUAUCUUAUCAGUAUAAGCAUUAAUUUUUCUCUGCUAUCAGCAUUCACAUAUUGUAGGAAUUUUUGUUUCGAUAUCUGAAUAAUCUCUGAAGUUUCUCUUUGUAACAUUGUGCUACUAUAGUUGAAACCAGCAAUUUCUGGUUGAUUUUUUAGUGUUUGUCUAAUUGAUACGAGAGGGAGAGAAUAGACAUUAAUGACAAUUUAAUUCGAGCGCUGAGUCACGUCUUGUUCUUAUGCUCUUAUAUAUAUGUAUAUGGCAGUACAAGAGGCCAAAAGGUCAGGCUAACGAAUGAAAGUGGUUACGUGGCAGCAACGUGACUGAUCAUCGCAAUCUUGUACUAUGACAGAAAA